Molecule: ribosomal RNA, 2491 nt
Filed under: Bacillus safensis
Lineage: Bacteria; Bacillati; Bacillota; Bacilli; Caryophanales; Bacillaceae
Description: bacterial LSU rRNA
Rfam family: Bacterial large subunit ribosomal RNA
Source: RNAcentral
CUCCAGAGUGGAUCCUGAGUACGGCGGAACACGUGAAAUUCCGUCGGAAUCCGGGAGGACCAUCUCCCAAGGCUAAAUACUCCCUAGUGACCGAUAGUGAACCAGUACCGUGAGGGAAAGGUGAAAAGCACCCCGGAAGGGGAGUGAAAUAGAUCCUGAAACCGUGUGCCUACAAGUAGUCAGAGCCCGUUAACGGGUGAUGGCGUGCCUUUUGUAGAAUGAACCGGCGAGUUACGAUCCCGUGCAAGGUUAAGCAGAAGAUGCGGAGCCGCAGCGAAAGCGAGUCUGAAUAGGGCGCAUGAGUACGUGGUCGUAGACCCGAAACCAGGUGAUCUACCCAUGUCCAGGGUGAAGUUCAGGUAACACUGAAUGGAGGCCCGAACCCACGCACGUUGAAAAGUGCGGGGAUGAGGUGUGGGUAGGGGUGAAAUGCCAAUCGAACCUGGAGAUAGCUGGUUCUCUCCGAAAUAGCUUUAGGGCUAGCCUCAAGGUAAGAGUCUCGGAGGUAGAGCACUGAUUGGACUAGGGGCCCCUACCGGGUUACCGAAUUCAGUCAAACUCCGAAUGCCGAUGACUUAUCCUUGGGAGUCAGACUGCGAGUGAUAAGAUCCGUAGUCGAAAGGGAAACAGCCCAGACCGCCAGCUAAGGUCCCAAAGUAUACGUUAAGUGGAAAAGGAUGUGGAGUUGCUUAGACAACCAGGAUGUUGGCUUAGAAGCAGCCACCAUUUAAAGAGUGCGUAAUAGCUCACUGGUCGAGUGACUCUGCGCCGAAAAUGUACCGGGGCUAAACGUAUCACCGAAGCUGCGGACUGUUCUUACGAACAGUGGUAGGAGAGCGUUCUAAGGGCUGUGAAGCCAGACCGGAAGGACUGGUGGAGCGCUUAGAAGUGAGAAUGCCGGUAUGAGUAGCGAAAGACGGGUGAGAAUCCCGUCCACCGAAUGCCUAAGGUUUCCUGAGGAAGGCUCGUCCGCUCAGGGUUAGUCGGGACCUAAGCCGAGGCCGAAAGGCGUAGGCGAUGGACAACAGGUUGAUAUUCCUGUACCACCUCCUCACCAUUUGAGCAAUGGGGGGACGCAGGAGGAUAGGGUAAGCGCGGUAUUGGAUAUCCGCGUCCAAGCAGUUAGGCUGGGAAAUAGGCAAAUCCGUUUCCCGUAAAGGCUGAGCUGUGAUGGCGAGCGAAAUUUAGUAGCGAAGUUCCUGAUUCCACACUGCCAAGAAAAGCCUCUAGCGAGGUGAGAGGUGCCCGUACCGCAAACCGACACAGGUAGGCGAGGAGAGAAUCCUAAGGUGAUCGAGAGAACUCUCGUUAAGGAACUCGGCAAAAUGACCCCGUAACUUCGGGAGAAGGGGUGCUUCUUAGGGUGUUAAAGCCCCGAGAAGCCGCAGUGAAUAGGCCCAGGCGACUGUUUAGCAAAAACACAGGUCUCUGCGAAGCCGUAAGGCGAAGUAUAGGGGCUGACGCCUGCCCGGUGCUGGAAGGUUAAGAGGAGCGCUUAGCGUAAGCGAAGGUGCGAAUUGAAGCCCCAGUAAACGGCGGCCGUAACUAUAACGGUCCUAAGGUAGCGAAAUUCCUUGUCGGGUAAGUUCCGACCCGCACGAAAGGCGCAACGAUCUGGGCACUGUCUCAACGAGAGACUCGGUGAAAUUAUAGUACCUGUGAAGAUGCAGGUUACCCGCGACAGGACGGAAAGACCCCGUGGAGCUUUACUGCAGCCUGAUAUUGAAUGUUGGUACAGCUUGUACAGGAUAGGUAGGAGCCUUGGAAACCGGAGCGCUAGCUUCGGUGGAGGCAUCGGUGGGAUACUACCCUGGCUGUAUUGACCUUCUAACCCGCUGCCCUUAUCGGGCAGGGAGACAGUGUCAGGUGGGCAGUUUGACUGGGGCGGUCGCCUCCUAAAAUGUAACGGAGGCGCCCAAAGGUUCCCUCAGAAUGGUUGGAAAUCAUUCGCAGAGUGUAAAGGCACAAGGGAGCUUGACUGCGAGACCUACAAGUCGAGCAGGGACGAAAGUCGGGCUUAGUGAUCCGGUGGUUCCGCAUGGAAGGGCCAUCGCUCAACGGAUAAAAGCUACCCCGGGGAUAACAGGCUUAUCUCCCCCAAGAGUCCACAUCGACGGGGAGGUUUGGCACCUCGAUGUCGGCUCAUCGCAUCCUGGGGCUGUAGUCGGUCCCAAGGGUUGGGCUGUUCGCCCAUUAAAGCGGUACGCGAGCUGGGUUCAGAACGUCGUGAGACAGUUCGGUCCCUAUCCGUCGCGGGCGCAGGAAAUUUGAGAGGAGCUGUCCUUAGUACGAGAGGACCGGGAUGGACGCACCGCUGGUGUACCAGUUGUUCUGCCAAGGGCAUCGCUGGGUAGCUAUGUGCGGACGGGAUAAGUGCUGAAAGCAUCUAAGCAUGAAGCCCCCCUCAAGAUGAGAUUUCCCAUUCCGCAAGGAAGUAAGAUCCCUGAAAGAUGAUCAGGUUGAUAGGUCUGAGGUGGAAGCGUGGUGACAC